Molecule: long non-coding RNA, 2529 nt
Organism: Anolis carolinensis (green anole)
Lineage: Eukaryota; Metazoa; Chordata; Lepidosauria; Squamata; Anolidae
Exons: 5
Source: RefSeq, a predicted model, not a curated record
CGCAGCCACUAGUAGUGGUUCAUGGAGGUGCAAGGAGGCAGGUAUAAGUGACAGAGAGCAGGAGGAGGGAUUCGGCAUUCCAGAGGCCAAUGUGGGGCACAGAAGUUUGUUUAUAUUUCUGUUCCAGUGACUCCUGUGAAAUACCCUCUGUCUGGAUAAGGAACACACAGUGAGUGAAGGAAAGCAUGCCUGGUAUUUCUUGAAACGUCAAGAUGCUGAUUUUCAAAAGAACAUUCCAAGAAGAAAAUGAAAGUUUUUUCCCACUUGUUUUGAAAGCAGAAAGAGCAGAAUUUGCCCUACAUUGGAGGCCUAUCAGAGAACUGAAGAAAUUUUGUAUCUGAACAUCUGUUGAGUUGCAGUCUGGAUUAAAGAUUAAAAAAUAGAAGAAAGGAGAACCGGAGCCUUGAAGAUGGACGUCAACGGUUUUCUUAUGAACAGUGGAUAGGCAGAUGGUUUGUCUGGUUAUUGGUGGGCAAGAAGGGUACACUGGGAUGGUAAUAGAAAUUGUGGGCGUUGAAGUCCAAAACACCUGGAGGGCUGAAGUUUGCCUAUACCUGAGCUAGAGAGACCCACAAACUCCACUGGGAGAAAUAUUUUUUGGAUCAGUGGGAAGCUUUGAAUGGCAUUAUUAACAAGACUACAGAUGUGUUUCUACAGACUGACACUGCAAGAAGCUAUUUUGUAUUCAGGAAUGUCCAUUCUCACAAUUUUACAAUCUACUUGCCCUUUGUAGGGGUGUGGAUUGUAUUUGGCUCUGGUACAAUGAAACUGCUCAUAGAGGAAUAAGACUUUAAUGCUACAGUGUCAGUUGUUUUAGUGGCAGGUGUAGGAGAUAAAAGAGGAAAGUUAUAUUUGCUAGGAUGCAAGAUAUCAGUGUGUGUCAUAUAAAAGAAAGAACACUAAAUAAAUACAAUAGAACUGAAAGUAGAUUAGUUUGUGACUGGUUUUUAAAUGUGUUUUCCCCAGCUGUGUACUAUUUUGAAAAUGUAGACUGUUUUUAAGAAAAGACAGAACAAAAGGGAGGGUUUCCCAUUUGCUCUUUAUGUGAUUAAAGGUUCUCCCUUUUCAAAAAUAGAAGCAAAAUAAAAUACCUUAUAUAGUACUUGAAUAAUCCAUCUCUAAUGACAUGCAAAGAAAAAAAAUACCCUGUCUGGCUUACUUCCAUUUCAUUUAUGUCCAUGCAAAAGUAUUUUUGGAAGAUGUGUAUGAAUCCCCUCUAAUGAUCCCUCCACCCCUGUAAUGUGCUGCAAACUUCUUGGCUCAUUUGUCUUACUGGCAACUUUUUACAAAACACAAGUUCUCUGACAAUAUUUGCUGCUGUCUAAACUUAAAAGGCUACUGGGAUUGAUGGUGGUUUGGGACUAGUUGAUAAUUAGUGAAAUGUAGGCCUUAGCCUAUUGCCACAACUGAGGAUGAGCUCUUUAAGUCCUUCCCAGGGCCGCCCCUCCAGUAAGACUCAGGGGUCUAGCAAUGAGACCUUACAGAAAUAGAAUUGGGCUUGUUAGUUUCUCCAGAAAUAAGAAAAAAUAUUAACUGUUUUGCCCUGGGCAACCCCUUCAGUAAGACUCAGGAGUCUAGCAAUGAGACGUGACAGACAUGAAAAUAGGCUUGAAAAACCAUGCUAGUUUCUCCAGAAAUUAGAAAAAAAAUAGCUUUAACUGUUCAGAACUAAGAUGCCUCAUCCCUUAUGGUGUCAUUCAAAGAGCAAAGAAGUAUGGUUCUUCUGUCCAAACUGCCUCUUAAUCUUCUGCUUGUUGGUCUACCUCAUUUUCCCAACAACCUAUUAAUCUGAGUUUGCUGUUCCAGUAUCAGUGCUGAUAGGGAAGUUAUGGGAUCUUCCUCUGUCCACCAACUGAAAAAAGGGGAACCCAAAUAAGUAACUGACAAUAGGUGAAAUCCUUAUUUGUUUAUUUUCCUUGCCUUUUUUUAAAAAAACAGUUUCACUGGCAUUAAUAAUAUAUGCUGUUGAUUUAGUAUAUCUGGAAGAAAGAGAAGCCAUUGAAAUCAAGGUGCAAAGCUUUACUAUAGUGUAAGAGGCAAACUGAAGAGACCAUGUUUACCUCCUCAUCUUCUCCAGACUCAUUAAAAGAUUCCAGUUGGAUUCCUAUGGAAGCCUUGGACAUUUUUCCAACAAAGGCUGUGUCUUUACAAAUUCCUUUUGAUCCUAUGGAUCAAAAAUGGGCUUUGAAGAGUUCUAGGCUCAUACAGCAUCUCACUUGCAGCUAUCCUAUAAGUGAGAGGCUAUUUAAAUUUUCUUGUUGCCUUUAUUCCAUGGCAGUUCCAUCUAUCUCUGGAGUAAAUGUGAGCUUUGAGCUAUUAAUGAUAUGAGUUCUUUGCAAGAUUCUAGGGAUCAGUGAGGUAUCAGUGUUCCUGAUAUUAUUGUAGUCAUGGUAUUGUGAUCCUAUCCAUGGUGAUUCCAUGCAGAAGUUUUGUCAGUGCUAGUUCCAAAGUAGCAUUCACUACUGGAACAACAGUUGUAUCCUUAUUUUGUUAAUAAAGAAUAAAAACCAAUAAAAUAAAUGUUAUUAA